Numida meleagris (helmeted guineafowl) is the source of this 234-nucleotide long non-coding RNA. RefSeq lists it as uncharacterized. The transcript is spliced from 2 exons. Lineage: Eukaryota; Metazoa; Chordata; Aves; Galliformes; Numididae. The record is from RefSeq and is a predicted model, not a curated record.
CAGAUUACUGGAUACUGUAGAGAUCCCAGCUCCUUUCAGAACAUGCCAUGCCCCUUAUUACUGCCUUCCUCUUCAAGAAUGGGCUCACCAUGACUGCUUAACCUGCUUGGUUCCUCAUAUCAGCUCUACUGUUCAUCUGACUGCAUGCUGAGAAAAUUCAGCUUACUGAUCUCUUAGAAAAUGAGUUCUUUAAAAAAAGGCAGAAAAAAAUAAUAGCACGGUUUUCUGACCAUU